Molecule: non-coding RNA, 848 nt
Organism: Cicer arietinum (chickpea)
Lineage: Eukaryota; Viridiplantae; Streptophyta; Magnoliopsida; Fabales; Fabaceae
Source: RefSeq, a predicted model, not a curated record
AUGAUUUUUCUGCACACCACAAUCCUAAGUUGAUCAUUUAAGCAAUCAAAGAUAGCUAAAUUGCAUCAGUCCUAUUGUUAAAUUAGAGUUUCAACCCAAAAAAUGAUUUACUUCAUAAACCUGGGGUCUUGGUACUGAAGUGCAUGCUUGGUUCUGGGUUGGGGAAUCUUAAGACCAUGGUUUUGAAGGUUGCCAAUUAAGUAUUUGUGCCUACACAAGUUGAUGGUAAAAUCUGUGAUUGAAAUUUUCAACUAUCUUGGGUGAGUUUAAGAUAUGGACUUCCUGACACUUUUUUCUCAGAUGAAAAUAUGACUCCCAGCAGUAACAACUGAAAUUUGUAAAAUAGAAAUGAGCUAAGUCUGGUAUUACUUUUUUCAUUUUUUUGAUUAAUUAAAAAGUGGAAUAUGGGAUGCAUAGUUUGUGCCUUAUGUCCUAUUAAUGAUUAUCCAUUGUCUGGUUAUUAUAAGUCAGUUUAGGUCAGGAGUUGUUUAAUCACUCUUGAAAUGUAUCAACUGUUCCGUGGUUUGUUUCUCUUUCUAAAUAAACCUACUGCAGGAAGAUUUUGUCCAGUAAUAUGUGGAAAUCAGCUUACUUUUGGCUAUUGAUGUGCGAUUUAAUCUUAGAAAAGCAUCUUCAUAGACAUUGUGUUCUUCUAGUUAUCCAAAUAAAGAAUCCUUCAUAGAUUGUUUUGUCCCAAUAGGUAUUUGACAUCGUCAUAUUAUAUCUCAGUUGUGUUUUUGAGCUUUCAAUUUCAAGUACAAGCUUUGUGUAGUUUGCUAUUUAAUGUUGCUUUCUGUUAUCAUUACUAGAUAUCUACUAACAAGCAGAAAUACUGCUUUAGGUCUGAA